UACGUAGGGCGCAAGCGUUGUCCGGAAUUAUUGGGCGUAAAGGGCUCGUAGGCGGUUUGUCACGUCGGGAGUGAAAACUCGGGGCUUAACUCCGAGCCUGCUUCCGAUACGGGCUGACUAGAGGUAUGCAGGGGAGAACGGAAUUCCUGGUGUAGCGGUGAAAUGCGCAGAUAUCAGGAGGAACACCGGUGGCGAAGGCGGUUCUCUGGGCAUUACCUGACGCUGAGGAGCGAAAGUGUGGGGAGCGAACAGG
This 253-nucleotide ribosomal RNA is filed under the name uncultured bacterium. Its description in RNAcentral is "partial 16S ribosomal RNA". It matches the Rfam family "Bacterial small subunit ribosomal RNA", at positions 524 to 776 of the family's 1533-position model. The record is from RNAcentral.